This 513-nucleotide long non-coding RNA is filed under the name Ananas comosus (pineapple). Its description in RNAcentral is "long non-coding RNA (ACOM_LNC011590)". The record is from RNAcentral. Lineage: Eukaryota; Viridiplantae; Streptophyta; Magnoliopsida; Poales; Bromeliaceae.
AUAUAUAGUUGAGCUAUGAUACUUUUACAAGUAUCACCAUCAUGGUACUAUUAGGUUUUAAGCCAUUGGAUCUACUUUUUGAUUAUUAAUAGCCCUUAGAUUAAACACUAUUCCACCUACCACCACCUACCACCAUCAUCUCAACCUCACAUCUCUCCAUCCAAGGGCUAAAAACACACAAGUAUCACCCCCAUGAUACUUUUACAAGUAUUCUAGCCCUACUAUAUAUAUAUAUAUAUAUAUAUUAUGAGUCCAGCUAUGGUGCUUGUAAAAGUACCAAGCACUUGGUGCUUGUAAGUUUUUUACCGUUAGAUCUAGUCAUCGGAUCAUUUUCAACCAUUAGAUUAUACUAUUCAACCAACAACCCACCCACUAAACCCUAGGGAGCCCACAUCAUCUUAACCGCAUAUCUUUUAAUCCAAUGGCUAAAAAUCUAUAAGCACUAAUAACUUGGUACUUUUAAAAGCAUAGGAGCUCGAUUCUAUUAUUAUUAUUAUUAUUGUUAUUAUUAUU